Molecule: ribosomal RNA, 759 nt
Filed under: Streptomyces albus
Lineage: Bacteria; Bacillati; Actinomycetota; Actinomycetes; Kitasatosporales; Streptomycetaceae
Description: bacterial SSU rRNA
Rfam family: Bacterial small subunit ribosomal RNA
Source: RNAcentral
AGUUUGCCUGGCGGACGAACGCUGGCGGCGUGCUUAACACAUGCAAGUCGAACGAUGAAGCCGCUUCGGUGGUGGAUUAGUGGCGAACGGGUGAGUAACACGUGGGCAAUCUGCCCUCUCUGGGACAAGCCCUGGAAACGGGGAAUACCGGAUAUGAGGGAUCGCAUGGUCUCCGUGUGGAAAGCGGCGGUGCAGGAUGAGCCCGCGGCCUAUCAGCUUGUUGGUGGGGUGAUGGCCUACCAAGGCGACGACGGGUAGCCGGCCUGAGAGGGCCGGCCACACUGGGACUGAGACACGGAGACUCCUACGGGAGGCAGUGGGGAUUGAAUGGGCGCAAGCCUGAUGCAGCGACGCCGCGUGAGGGAUGGCCUUCGGGUUGUAAACCUCUUUCAGCAGGGAAGAAGCGAGAGUGACGGUACCUGCAGAAGAAGCACCGGCUAACUACGUGCCAGCAGCCGCGGUAAUACGUAGGGUGCGAGCGUUGGGAAUUAUUGGGCGUAAAGAGCUCGUAGGCGGCUUGUCGCGUCGGUGAAAGCCCGGGGCUUAACCCGUCUGCAUUCGAUACGGGCAGGCUAGAGUUCGGCAGGGGAGAUUGGAAUUCCUGGUGUAGCGGUGAAAUGCGCAGAUAUCAGGAGGAACACCGGUGGCGAAGGCGGAUCUCUGGGCCGAUACUGACGCUGAGGAGAAGCGUGGGGAGCGAACAUUAGAUACCCUGGUAGUCCACGCCGUAAACGUUGGGUAGGUGUGGGCCGUACUCCC